AGCUCCAAUAGCAUAUACUAACGUUGUUGCAGUUAAAAAGCUCGUAGUUGGAUUUCUGGUCGAUGGCGGUCGGGUGGAGCCUCGUUGUUCCACUUGUCGUUCAUUGGUCAAAAUUUGUCACUAAUCUUCGUGUGUCCUUCAAUGGACUCCGGAGACAAAUGACUCGUUUACUUUGAGAAAAUUAGAGUGUUCAAAGCAGGCAAUCGCCUUGAAUAUGUUAGCAUGGAAUAAUAACAUAGGACUUAGGUUCUAUUUGUUGGUUGUUCGAGAACUUGAGUAAUGAUUGAUAGGGACGGUUGGGGGCAUCCGUAUUCCCAAGCGAGAGGUGAAAUUCUUGGACCUUGGGAAGACGAACAGAUGCGAAAGCGUUUGCCAAGGACGUUCUCU
RNAcentral lists this ribosomal RNA (387 nucleotides) under uncultured eukaryote. RNAcentral's name for it is "SSU rRNA". It matches the Rfam family "Eukaryotic small subunit ribosomal RNA", at positions 587 to 972 of the family's 1831-position model. The record is from RNAcentral.